Molecule: signal recognition particle RNA, 262 nt
Filed under: Pseudomonadota bacterium
Lineage: Bacteria; Pseudomonadati; Pseudomonadota
Description: Proteobacteria bacterium (groundwater metagenome) signal recognition particle sRNA large type
Rfam family: Bacterial large signal recognition particle RNA
About the family: The signal recognition particle (SRP) is a universally conserved ribonucleoprotein involved in the co-translational targeting of proteins to membranes. Archaeal SRP consists of a 7S RNA and homologues of the eukaryotic SRP19 and SRP54 proteins. In most bacteria, the SRP consists of a 4.5S RNA and the Ffh protein (a homologue of the eukaryotic SRP54 protein).
Source: RNAcentral
UCGUGCUAGAUGGGGAGCUAGCGGUGCCCUGUAACCCGAAAUCCGCUUAUGCGGGAUUGAACAGCCUUCAUGAGAAUCUCGCCUUGGCACUGCCCCUGAUCGAGCCUGCCGAGGGGGUGGAGCUCACGUGACGUACGCUUAUGAACCCCGUCAGGUCCGGAAGGAAGCAGCGGUAAAUAAUGCCGUCCGUGUCGUGAUGAUAUCUACCCCUAUCACAGAUCGAUGAAGACAUGCCGUGGAAGAUUCGACGAGGGAUGCACGA